AGUGAACGCUGGCGGUAGGCCUAACACAUGCAAGUCGAACGGCAGCACAGUAAGAGCUUGCUCUUACGGGUGGCGAGUGGCGGACGGGUGAGGAAUACAUCGGAAUCUACUUUUUCGUGGGGGAUAACGUAGGGAAACUUACGCUAAUACCGCAUACGACCUACGGGUGAAAGCAGGGGAACUUCGGACCUUGCGCGAUUGAAUGAGCCGAUGUCGGAUUAGCUAGUUGGCGGGGUAAAGGCCCACCAAGGCGACGAUCCGUAGCUGGUCUGAGAGGAUGAUCAGCCACACUGGAACUGAGACACGGUACAGACUCCUACGGGAGGCAGCAGUGGGGAAUAUUGGACAAUGGGCGCAAGCCUGAUCCAGCCAUACCGCGUGGGUGAAGAAGGCCUUCGGGUUGUAAAGCCCUUUUGUUGGGAAAGAAAAGCAGCAGGUUAAUACCCCGCUGUUCUGACGGUACCCAAAGAAUAAGCACCGGCUAACUUCGUG
RNAcentral lists this ribosomal RNA (492 nucleotides) under uncultured bacterium. RNAcentral describes it as "partial 16S ribosomal RNA". It matches the Rfam family "Bacterial small subunit ribosomal RNA", at positions 29 to 507 of the family's 1533-position model. The record is from RNAcentral.